GAUGAACGCUAGCGGCAGGCUUAAUACAUGCAAGUCGAACGGUAACAGGUCUUCGGACGCUGACGAGUGGCGCACGGGUGAGGAACACAUACACAAUCUACCUUAUACUGGAGAAUAGCCCCGGGAAACUGGGAUUAAUACUCCAUAGUCUUUAAUGAUCACAUGAGAAAUAAAGUAAAGCUUCGGCGGUAUAAGAUGAGUGUGCGUCCCAUUAGAUUGUUGGUGAGGUAACGGCUCACCAAGUCGACGAUGGGUAGCUGGCGUGAGAGCGCGACCAGCCACACUGGCACUGAGACACGGGCCAGACUCCUACGGGAGGCAGCAGUAGGGAAUAUUGGUCAAUGGACGAAAGUCUGAACCAGCCAUGCCGCGUGGAGGAUGACUGCCCUCUGGGUUGUAAACUCCUUUUAUAUGGGAAGAAACCUCUGGAUUCACUCCAGAGCUGACGGUAUCAUAUGAAUAAGCACCGGCUAACUCCG
RNAcentral lists this ribosomal RNA (479 nucleotides) under uncultured bacterium. RNAcentral's name for it is "bacterial SSU rRNA". It matches the Rfam family "Bacterial small subunit ribosomal RNA", at positions 28 to 505 of the family's 1533-position model. The record is from RNAcentral.